Molecule: ribosomal RNA, 254 nt
Filed under: uncultured bacterium
Lineage: Bacteria
Description: partial 16S ribosomal RNA
Rfam family: Bacterial small subunit ribosomal RNA
Source: RNAcentral
UACGUAGGUGGCAAGCGUUGUCCGGAAUCAUUGGGCGUAAAGCGCGCGUAGGCGGCCCGAUAAGUCCGCUGUAAAAGUCAACGGCUCAACUGUUUGAAAGCCGGUGGAUACUGUCGGGCUAGAGUACGGAAGAGGCAAGUGGAAUUCCUGGUGUAGCGGUGGAAUGCGCAGAUAUCAGGAGGAACACCUAUAGCGAAGGCAGCUUGCUGGGACGUUACUGACGCUAAGGCGCGAAAGCGUGGGGAGCGAACAGG